Molecule: ribosomal RNA, 429 nt
Filed under: Actinomycetes bacterium
Lineage: Bacteria; Bacillati; Actinomycetota; Actinomycetes
Description: Actinobacteria bacterium partial 16S ribosomal RNA
Rfam family: Bacterial small subunit ribosomal RNA
Source: RNAcentral
UAGGGAAUCUUCCGCAAUGGGCGAAAGCCUGACGGAGCAACGCCGCGUGAGUGAUGAAGGUCUUCGGAUCGUAAAACUCUGUUAUUAGGGAAGAACAAAUGUGUAAGUAACUAUGCACGUCUUGACGGUACCUAAUCAGAAAGCCACGGCUAACUACGUGCCAGCAGCCGCGGUAAUACGUAGGUGGCAAGCGUUAUCCGGAAUUAUUGGGCGUAAAGCGCGCGUAGGCGGUUUUUUAAGUCUGAUGUGAAAGCCCACGGCUCAACCGUGGAGGGUCAUUGGAAACUGGAAAACUUGAGUGCAGAAGAGGAAAUUGGAAUUCCAUGUGUAGCGGUGAAAUGCGCAGAGAUAUGGAGGAACACCAGUGGCGAAGGCGACUUUCUGGUCUGUAACUGACGCUGAUGUGCGAAAGCGUGGGGAUCAAACAGG